UAUCGGAACGUGCCCGGUUGUGGGGGAUAACGUAGAGAAAUUUACGCUAAUACCGCAUGAGAUCCAAGGAUGAAAGCGGGGGACUCUUGCAAGAGAGCCUCGCGCGACCGGAGCGGCUGAUAUCAGAUUAGCUUGUUGGUGAGGUAAAAGCUCACCAAGGCGACGAUCUGUAGCUGGUUUGAGAGAACGACCAGCCACACUGGGACUGAGACACGGUCCAG
RNAcentral lists this ribosomal RNA (221 nucleotides) under uncultured bacterium. RNAcentral describes it as "partial 16S ribosomal RNA". It matches the Rfam family "Bacterial small subunit ribosomal RNA", at positions 116 to 334 of the family's 1533-position model. The record is from RNAcentral.